GCGCCAGACUCCUACGGGAGGCAGCAGUGGGGGAUAUUGCACAAUGGGGGGAACCCUGAUGCAGCGACGCCGCGUGGGUGAAGGAGUAUUUCGGUAUGUAAAACCCUAUCGGCAGGGAAGAAGCAAGACGGUACCUGACUAAGAAGCCCCGGCUAACUACGUGCCGGCAGCCGCGGUAAUACGUAGGGGGCGAGCGUUAUCCGGAUUCACUGGGUGUAAAGGGAGCGUAGACGGCCAAGCAAGCCAGGGGUGAAAGCCCGGGGCCCAACCCCGGGACUGCCCUUGGAACUGCUUGGCUGGAGUGCGGGAGGGGCAGGCGGAAUUCCUGGUGUAGCGGUGAAAUGCGUAGAUAUUAGGAGGAACACCAGUGGCGAAGGCGGCUUGCUGGACAGAGACUGACGUUGAGGCUCGAAAGCGUGGGGAGCAAACAGGAUUAGAUACCCCUGUA
Molecule: ribosomal RNA, 448 nt
Filed under: uncultured bacterium
Lineage: Bacteria
Description: partial 16S ribosomal RNA
Rfam family: Bacterial small subunit ribosomal RNA
Source: RNAcentral